GAUGAACGCUGGCGGCGUGCCUAAUACAUGCAAGUCGAGCGAACAGACGAGGAGCUUGCUCCUCUGACGUUAGCGGCGGACGGGUGAGUAACACGUGGAUAACCUACCUAUAAGACUGGGAUAACUUCGGGAAACCGGAGCUAAUACCGGAUAACAUGUUGAACCGCAUGGUUCAACAGUGAAAGACGGUCUUGCUGUCACUUAUAGAUGGAUCCGCGCCGCAUUAGCUAGUUGGUAAGGUAACGGCUUACGAAGGCAACGAUGCGUAGCCGACCUGAGAGGGUGUUCGGCCACACGGGAACUGAGACACGGUCCAGACUCCUACAGGAGGCAGCAGUAGGGAAUCUUCCGCAAUGGGCGAAAGCCUGACGGAGCAACGCCGCGUGAGUGAAGAAGGUCUUCGGAUCGUAAAACUCUGUUAUUAGGGAAGAACAAAUUUGUAAGUAACUAUGCACGUCUUGACGGUACCUAAUCAGAAAGCCACGGCUAACUACGUG
RNAcentral lists this ribosomal RNA (497 nucleotides) under uncultured bacterium. RNAcentral's name for it is "partial 16S ribosomal RNA". It matches the Rfam family "Bacterial small subunit ribosomal RNA", at positions 28 to 507 of the family's 1533-position model. The record is from RNAcentral.